AGAGCGAACGCUGGCGGCAGGCCUAACACAUGCAAGUCGAGCGCCCAGCAAUGGGAGCGGCAGACGGGAGAGUAACACGUGGGAAUAUGCCCUUCAGUUCGGAACAACCCAGGGAAACUUGGGCUAAUACCGAAUACGUCCGUAAGGAGAAAGAUUUAUCGCUGAAGGAUUAGCCCGCGUCUGAUUAGCUUGUUGGUGAGGUAACGGCUCACCAAGGCGACGAUCAGUAGCUGGUCUGAGAGGAUGACCAGCCUCAUUGGGACUGAGACACGGCCCAAACUCCUACGGGAGGCAGCAGUGGGGAAUAUUGGACAAUGGGGGCAACCCUGAUCCAGCCAUGCCGCGUGGAUGAUGAAGGCCCUAGGGUUGUAAAGUCCUUUUAACGGGAAGAUAAUGACGGUACCCGUAGAAUAAGCCCGGCUAACUUCGUGCCAGCAGCCGC
Molecule: ribosomal RNA, 442 nt
Filed under: uncultured bacterium
Lineage: Bacteria
Description: SSU rRNA
Rfam family: Bacterial small subunit ribosomal RNA
Source: RNAcentral